AGUGCUUGCCUAGGCAUACUAUGUACUAAAAUUAGAAUGAUACAGAGAAGUUUAGCAUGGCCCCUUGUGCAAGGACAACAUGCAAAUUUGUGAAGUGUUCUCUACUUAA
Grammomys surdaster is the source of this 109-nucleotide small nuclear RNA. Lineage: Eukaryota; Metazoa; Chordata; Mammalia; Rodentia; Muridae. The record is from RefSeq and is a predicted model, not a curated record.